Molecule: microRNA, 22 nt
Filed under: Columba livia (rock pigeon)
Lineage: Eukaryota; Metazoa; Chordata; Aves; Columbiformes; Columbidae
Description: cli-miR-9641-3p
Source: miRBase by way of RNAcentral
CGAGCGUGAUGUGCCACGGCUC